RNAcentral lists this long non-coding RNA (1186 nucleotides) under Ornithorhynchus anatinus (platypus). RNAcentral's name for it is "lncRNA (ENSOANG00000041354.1)". The record is from RNAcentral. Lineage: Eukaryota; Metazoa; Chordata; Mammalia; Monotremata; Ornithorhynchidae.
AAUUCUCCUCCUUUCUUGAGAACCAAGGACUCCCGAAGGAGACAAAAUCCCCUUCUCUCGUCAGGCCGGGCCAGCAAAAAUUCCGAGUUGAAUGUCUAUUUAUUCCUCAGGUCACAUCUGUUAAAGUCCAAUUCAGAGGUUGAGCACACAGUGCAAGAACCUCCCAUAGAAGGGGCUGCGUCAAAGAGGCCUUACUAUAAUGAGAGGCAGAGUGAUGCCCCAGAAUUGGCAAGUUUGAGAAGUGCUGCUGUGGCAAGAUCUGAAACACAUGACUCCAGAAUAAUAGAGGACCACAAUAAAGACCUGGAGGAGGAUAUGAUGUCAGAGGCUUCAGGUUAUGGAAAGUUCCAAUCCCUGUUUUUUGGAGCAAUUUCACCUAUGCUGCAAAAUAACUUCUACCCUGAGUUUAGUAGUCUGGUAACACCGAGUGACAACGAAGAUGACCUCAGUAAUGGGCAGCUCUCCCAAACUUUCUAAUGUUCAGUGAUGUAGCAAGGCGAGCUUUGAUACUAGGAUCAUAACUAGCUGCCCUUCACAUCAAACAUCUACUGACAUCGUUAAUUCAGAGGAAUCUGCCUGCACUUUCCAGGAAAACAGAAGUGUGGAACCCCUUGUGUCUGAAGCACUUUAUGAUAUUUACCGUUUUAAACAGUUGUGAUUAGAAAUGAGUAUUGUACAGUGUAAGAAAAUGAUUCAAACUUUUUUGGGGGAGGUUCUAAUUCUUAAGUGAGUAGACAGGGGUGCUAUAAACAUGAAUUAUUCCCUCUUCGAUUGUGGGAAAAAAACACCAUACAGUGCCUGUUUUAGUUCAGGACACUUUCACAAUGAGACUGUUUUCCUUGUCAGUUUAAUAAAUGCAUGUUAAAUUUCUCCAGAUAUUACAACCUCUGGGAAUUAGUACAAACAUUUGACGUACAGCCAGCAUCUAUUGCAACAAAAGGUAGUUUUGCAAUUUGUGGAUUCCCUUUGUAGUUAAGCAAAUAUUUAAGUUGAAUUACCUAAAGAAGUAACCUGUAAUGCAGAUUCUUCUUCUAUUACUGUACCUGCUUUGGGAUAUUUUAAAAUUAAGUCCUGAGGGAACAUGCUUUUAAAGCAAGCUCUUUCACACUGACCACUACACUUCAAGACAAUAAAAAGCAUCCAUUUUAAAGAUGACAAAGUUUUAGCCUCUAUUUAGUCCUUUCUC